RNAcentral lists this transfer RNA (73 nucleotides) under Balneola sp. RNAcentral describes it as "tRNA-Ile". It matches the Rfam family "tRNA". Rfam says of the family: Transfer RNA (tRNA) molecules are approximately 80 nucleotides in length. The record is from RNAcentral. Lineage: Bacteria; Pseudomonadati; Balneolota; Balneolia; Balneolales; Balneolaceae. RNAcentral also lists the same sequence under 1 other name.
AGUCCAUUAGCUCAGUAGGUAGAGCGUGGGUCUAAUAAACCCAAGGUCAGCGGUUCAAUCCCGCUAUGGACUA